GAGGGUAUAGCACAAGUGGUAGAGCACAUGCUUAGCAUGCACAAGGCCCUGAGUUCAAUCCCCAGUACCUCCU
Molecule: transfer RNA, 73 nt
Filed under: Camelus bactrianus (Bactrian camel)
Lineage: Eukaryota; Metazoa; Chordata; Mammalia; Artiodactyla; Camelidae
Also listed under: 2 other names
Rfam family: tRNA
About the family: Transfer RNA (tRNA) molecules are approximately 80 nucleotides in length. Their secondary structure includes four short double-helical elements and three loops (D, anti-codon, and T loops). Further hydrogen bonds mediate the characteristic L-shaped molecular structure. tRNAs have two regions of fundamental functional importance: the anti-codon, which is responsible for specific mRNA codon recognition, and the 3' end, to which the tRNAs corresponding amino acid is attached (by aminoacyl-tRNA synthetases). tRNAs cope with the degeneracy of the genetic code in two manners: having more than one tRNA (with a specific anti-codon) for a particular amino acid; and 'wobble' base-pairing, i.e. permitting non-standard base-pairing at the 3rd anti-codon position.
Source: Rfam by way of RNAcentral